UACGUAGGGGGCAAGCGUUGUCCGGAAUCAUUGGGCGUAAAGAGCGUGUAGGCGGCUCGGUAAGUCCGACGUGAAAUCCCCAGGCUUAACUUGGGAACUGCGUCGGAUACUGGUGGGCUUGAAUCCGGGAGAGGGAUGCGGAAUUCCAGGUGUAGCGGUGAAAUGCGUAGAUAUCUGGAGGAACACCGGUGGCGAAGGCGGCAUCCUGGACCGGCAUUGACGCUGAGUGAGCGAAAGCCAGGGGAGCAAACGGG
Molecule: ribosomal RNA, 254 nt
Filed under: uncultured bacterium
Lineage: Bacteria
Description: partial 16S ribosomal RNA
Rfam family: Bacterial small subunit ribosomal RNA
Source: RNAcentral